RNAcentral lists this long non-coding RNA (5991 nucleotides) under Triticum aestivum (bread wheat). RNAcentral's name for it is "long non-coding RNA (TAES_LNC005662)". The record is from RNAcentral. Lineage: Eukaryota; Viridiplantae; Streptophyta; Magnoliopsida; Poales; Poaceae.
UUCUUUGUCUUCCUGCUCCUCCUCUUCAUCCAAUAUCUCUACCUCCCCGAUUCAAGCUUCCUGCCAAGCUCGCAACUACCAUCAAUGGCGCAUCCUUCUGAAAAUCCCCCAACCUUCGACAUCCACACCAUAAAUUUUGAUGGAUUCUUUGCCAUUUCCUUCUCCCUUCAAAGUCAUCAAACAAUAAUAUCAAUGUAGAAGUAAUUAGCACGUAAACACCAUACUCCUCUACGCUUGCACCCGCUGCUAUGACCCUGACCUAUCCCAUCUCUACUACAUGAUAUGCUUCAACUCCAACAGAUUUUCCCUUUAAUCCAGUGAGGCUCUCGUGGCGACCAUGUGCUCAGAGUGCCACUUUUGUCGCCAUGCAUCUUCGCUAGGGUGUCUCAAAUGUUUGCAUGAUACUCCCUUCGUGAACAGGCUUAUAUUUGUUUAUAGAGGGAGUACAUUAUUAGUUUUUUAGAGAUCCAUGAGUAUUUACUCCUAGUAAUAGCAAUUGGUAAUUUGGCAUAGUACAACCAUAAUCUUGGAGCCAUUUAUCAUUUUGAUAUAGGUAUUUGCUAUAGAUGCAAUUAUGAUGAAACAAUGUUAAGAAUUUGUAUAGAGUAACCCUAGCAAACUGAACGAAACAACAAGUCAAUCCCGUCCUCGCUGGAAUCAAUUCAUGCAUGAAGGAACAUCACAUAAAGUAAAUUGGAAUUGAAACUAACAACAAGCAAUGACAACAUGGAUGCUAUCUUAUUUCUUUGGGGUGGAUGGCAAGAGCACUCGCCCGGAUUCACGGAGCAGUCUUGACUGUGCAUAUCUAGCUAGAGAAACGUUGGGUCAAAGCAAAGGGUCUAGGUACCUUGAGCAAUUACACUCUUACGUUGACAAGUGCCCCACAAAACUGCUCACGACCAUCCUCCUCUAGGCCUUGUAAGCGUUUCGAAAUCCUCUCUGCUUCCCCAACACGAUGGCCGGCCACUGCAACUCCUCCAGAGGCAAUACAUGCGGCGUCGUCCCUGAGGCGUUCUCCUUUCUGCUCAUGCCUCUUGCUCAUUUUACCUAUUUCCUCUAAAAUUUUAUCCACUUCUCCAAGCAUGCACUGAAAACUGCAAAAAAUGUAGAACAAUGUACAUGUGUGAACUUGAGUAGUGGAAUCAAACCAACCUUCAUCAAUAGAUAUCUUUUGAACUAUGGUCCACUAUGUACAUCGUCCAUAUUAGCUCAUAAUGAAAACUAAAAUAAUGGUUAGCCUUUCCCAUAUGUUUUUCGAAGAACAAAAUAAGAAUUAUCACCACCUACAACCUGGAAGACUAAUCCCUCACAAAAAAGUUUGGCAUGUAGAUUAUGAUAUUAUCCUAGCUUAUAUAUGAUUCAAAUUUCAACCUUAUUCAGGCCAAUAUGAGUGGAUCUCAAGGAUCUCCACUGGACCAAUACUCAAUUAAGAACCCCAACAUCAGUCGAAACUAAACAUGAAAAUUUUGAACUCGCUGACUUUAUGUCAUUCCAGUGGUAAUAGUAGUACAUGUGCUGCUAGAAAAUGUAACACUCAGGGUGCAUAUAGAUACGCUAUUGUCUUGCUGAUAGAAAAUGUAGAGCCCAAGGUGCGUAUAGAUAUGCUAUUGUCUUGUUGUUAAAUAAACUGCUGUUAGCUAGAUCAAGAAAGCUAAGGUUUCCAGCAAUUCCAAUCUGCAAGCACAAUCAGACCUCAUAGCCUAAAUAAAAUUCAAUCUAACCAUCAGGAAGAACUCCUGAUUGCAGCUUUGAGAGAGAUCUAGUCCAUUUGUAAUUUGGCUAGAAAUAAAACCAAUCAAACUGGAAAACAUCACUUCAGGUUGGGAAUGCACUAUAUCUUGAUAUAAGCAUGCUUUUGGUUUGUAUGCCAGGCUCUGAGUUUGUAUUGAGAAAUAAAUUCAGAAAGAUGAACCUCAAUAUUUACAGGAGGAUUAUGCUCUUUUGCUGGACAUGACCCUUUUUUAGAAGAAGAAAACAUGUGUGUAUUAUUUCUGUAAUAAACAUGAAAGGAAAAUUUUCAAAAUGAUACAAUUGUAUCUUAUUUACCUUGUAGGAAAAUGUAGUUCCCAUAUUUUCCAAAAACAAAUCUCAAGUAGUCCAUCCAUAUCAGCUGAAAUAAAACCCUAAAACCAUUGCCAUGUCAGGAAUGUCGGUCAAGUAUGAUUAGAGAAUUAGGUAUAGAGGGCUUGAAACAUGAAAUAAAGUUGUGGAAGAAUCUGCAAACUGUAGUAAGUAGACAAAUUACUCUAGUUAGUAUGGGCAAAAUACAGAAAAAUGAAUCCAAUUAAUGACUAAGUGACACGAGUGAAGUCCUUCGAUAUAUAUCACCUUUUAUCAAUUUAUUUAGCGGAUACUAUGAGAGCAACUAUGAUAUUCCCCCUUUCGUCCCCACGGCCCAUCCUCUGACACCGGCCACGGUCGAUGUUGAGUGCCACCCUUCCCGAGCCGCCUUCUCCCUCGAUCCAUCGUUGCAGCCUGAUCCACCCUCCGGCACUGGUCGCGACCAGUGUCGAUGUGACGUGUCACCUUGCUAGAGCCGACUUCUCCAUGGGUCUAUAGAUGCCCUUUACCAUCCUCUAUUCCAUCCCCCUCUUCUAAAAUUCGGUGCUCGUUAUCGUCUUCUUCCUCCUUCCAGCCCCAUGACCCACCUUUUGACACUGGUUGCAUCCGGUUCCAAUGUCUUGUGUCGUCCUGCUCAAGCCGCCUUCUCGGACGAUCCACCGUUGCCCCCGACCAUACCACUAACAAAGACACACCCCUCCUUCCCAGACAAUGCUCGUGUGCAAUAGUUGGGGCACAUAUAUUUUCUCACUUCCCAACUUUGUGUGACAAAUAAGUCUUUAACUCCUUUAUCCUCAACAAGCCUUUCUUUCUCCCAAUUAUUUAGUUCAACCUACUCUGUCAUUUUAGUGAUUCUUUGAGGUGCCUUUGAAACCCCGAGAUUUAAGCUUGCAGUAAUCAUGUAUUGGAAACCUCUGACAAAAUACACAUUCCAUUGAACUUCUAUUUAGACCAGGUUGCACUAGAAAUUUUGGACAAUGUACCCAAUGCACAAUCAGAAUACUUACAACAGAGCAUUUAGAGAAAGAUCCAACUUUCAAACAUAGUCACCUCAUAGGACAUACAACAGAUCACUCAGAAUACAAACUGACCCACCAUGGUAGUAUGUCCUAUGCCGAAACAAAUUCCAUCCACAUGGUUUGCAAACAUUUGUCAAAAUAUAGGCAGCCAUUCAGACAAAGAUCGGUUACCAUUUUUAUGGUGGUCAAGAACAAUAAACUUUUUCUCAGGUAAAGCUAAAAGAAAUAAGCAUCUAUGUUUGUUCAUGUACAACAUGAGGUCUAUUCUUCUUUUCCUUAUGAACAACAAACAUCUUGCAAAACUUGAUGCUUAGAUUUAUUUUUUAUGCCCUACGCUAGUUCAUUAAUAUCUAUCUAUCUAUCUCUCAUGCAGAGAUCAGCCAAUAAAGAGGAAGUAAUUAUGCAGGUUUACAUAGAAUAUAAUUCAAAAUUUGGAUGCAUGUUUGUAAGAUUUAUGAGUGAUCGUUGUAAAUAUAGUAAUCCAAAAGCAACAAUUACAUAGGCCACGCUUCAUAUUAAAGGCAUUUUAUCAUUUGUUCACCUCGGAAACAGAUUCUUUGCCUCAUUUUUCUCAUGGCAAUGUUGUGAGGUGCUUCCAGGGUGAUCAUUAUCGGCGUAAUUCAUUAUCUAAGCUGAAUAAGCAGAUGAAUUGAAAAAUAAAUAGCUAGCCACAAGAGAGAGGCGUUUUGGAGGCCAUUUUUUUGAAAAAUUCAAAUUCAAAUUUUUAUGGUUCAAAAAAAUCUGAAAAAGAUAUGCAUAUAUCUAAGGAUGUAACCCACAUGUGUGUAAAAAUUCAUGAUGAAAUACCUUGAGUUUCGACCUGUACAAAAAAGACAAAUUCAUGGCCAGGGAGGAUGAAUAGUAUCAUGUGUUAAACAACCCCAGAUUUGUCUUUUUUGCACAACCCUCAUUUUAAUGUAUUUUGAACUAAAAAUUUACACACGUGUGUUAUGCCUUCAUGUAUAUCUGUAUUUUUUUUCUAGAAUUUUUGGAAAUGUAAGAAUAUGAAUUUCGAAGAAAUUUCAAAUUUGAAUUUGGAGGCCUCACUGGAGCCCGAGCUCCAAAAGGGAUUUCCGCUAGCCACAACUUCUAGAAACCAGUUCUACCAAAAAGAUCCUUUCCAUGAGAACAAAAACGUACCCAAUAUUGAUAGCUAUCCAUUUUUGUCACCAUCAACACACAUAUCUUAAUUCCUUCUUGUAUAAGCUUUUCAAUACAUCUUGGUACCUGAAUAUAAAUGCAUGCACAUGUGCACCAAUGAAAUAUAAAUAAUUAAUAUUUAGUAGCCUGCAUUUGAAUGAAAUGAAGUAGAUCAGAAAACAUAACCUUCUCAUAAAAGCAUGCCAAUUUCUAGAGCUUGUCUUAGUAGUACCAAAAGAAAGUCAUGCUCAAUACUGUCAGAAACCUGCUAAAUAUUUUUCAUCUCUGUCGGCAUUUCUAGGUGGUUUGACAGUCCAACUAAAAAAAAUAGUUUGACAGUGUAGAAGUAUUCACCAAAGUUCACAUACUCUUUCUCAUCCGAGACACAUACAAGAACUAAUUUUCUUAGACCAGAAUCAAAAACUCAUUUAUGUUCCUUUUAGUCUCUUCCUCAAAUUAUCUUCCAGGUGGUACAAAUGGAGAAAAAAGACUUUCAAUUAGUCUCUUCCUCAGGUUCUCUUCCAGCUGCUGCGCACGGAGAAGACAGAUAAGGAGGCAUGGGCGGUACAGAAGUUUCGGAUCAUAGAGGACAGUUGAAUCAUCUGGCCAAAGAUACCACCGGCUAACCGUUUCUUCAAACAUCUUUAGGACAUAUUUGAACAUCCCAAAAUAAGAACAACAUAUAAAUAUUUUCAGAUAGAUGGUGGGUCAACUGCAUUUUGCAUCACCUAAAUAUCAUGGGCAAAGUGACUAAGAACAGAGGUAGUGGAAGGGGAUUUGUAUUACCAAAGUCUCUAUUAAAUUUUGCAGCAGCUUAUCCAAUCAUUGUUUGACUCGUAUGAAAUCACACCAAGUUUUGCAUUCCAAAAAAACAUAUAGUGAACAUGAACCUGAAGAAUCAAAAUAUAUGCCUAGCUAGGCACUCCAUUGAUACAUGUGAGUCGUCAGGUAGCAGAGGCAUGUGGCUGUUGUUCUUCUGCAUCGUCGCGUCAGCCUAACCUUAUUUCUGCUCCAGAUCUCCAGUACGUGUGUACAUGCUCGCCAAGGAGGUCGAAAUUCCCCAUCCCGGGGAGGGCGAGGCAGCGGACUCCUGCAUGUCAGGGUCAAAGUCAGUGAACACGUCAAAAUCAAAAUGAGAGUAAUGGAAGGAGGAAUUGCGUGGGUUUUGGGUGUUGAACAUCGCCUGAUUCAGAACUUUGACGUGUUCACAAAAAUUGAUUUGCCCAGGCUAGGAUGGAGUGACCGAGGAUGAGUCGACCACAAAAAUUGAACGCCCGAGCAACUAAGAUCGGGGAUGCGGUCAUCAGGGUCGUCUGCAUAUCAACACUCCCUGGAACAAAGCUAUCAGUUGCAAUGCACUUUAUGGGGAACUCAGUUAGAACAAUACGUGAAGUAUUUUUGCCACACAUGAUGUGCCUUCCUAUAGAGUUGCCCGUAACAAAGCACUUCCAGGGAUCAGGAGACCCAGCCAUGGGGGGAAACGAGGAGAAGGUCGGGGUGAGCUCCUCCAUGGAUCCGGUAUCGACCACCGUGGCCACCUCGCUGGUGUUGUCGGUGGUGGCCGGGAAUGCAGUGUCGGUUCUGGCCAUGGCCGGAUCCGAGGAGCACAACAAUGGGAGAUUGGGGAGGGAGAAGAACGGCGAUGGUGGAGGCCCCCCUCCGUCGAUCUAGUAACAUCGACAGAUCCAUCCAGGAGAUCGAUGGAGGUUGAGAGACGGUGACGUGGAGGUGAGGGCUGGCCGGUGGCGAUGGAGAGGAGGGCGUCAGUGGC